Oxobacter pfennigii is the source of this 89-nucleotide regulatory RNA element. It matches the Rfam family "c-di-GMP-I riboswitch aptamer". Rfam says of the family: GEMM was predicted in a large-scale screen for bacterial structured RNA regulatory elements. Genes associated with GEMM are involved in a diverse array of functions, including chemotaxis regulation, signal transduction, secretion and chitin. NCBI's taxonomy places the organism in Bacteria, Bacillati, Bacillota, Clostridia, Eubacteriales, Clostridiaceae. The record is from Rfam.
UAGAGCUAUGGGCAAACCCGGUUAAAACCGGGGACGCAAAGCCGAGGGUCUAAGGUGUCUUAGGGCGCUAUGAUAGUCUGGCUGCCAAA